Molecule: ribosomal RNA, 2774 nt
Filed under: Escherichia coli
Lineage: Bacteria; Pseudomonadati; Pseudomonadota; Gammaproteobacteria; Enterobacterales; Enterobacteriaceae
Description: partial 23S ribosomal RNA
Rfam family: Bacterial large subunit ribosomal RNA
Source: RNAcentral
UAUCAUUAACUGAAUCCAUAGGUUAAUGAGGCGAACCGGGGGAACUGAAACAUCUAAGUACCCCGAGGAAAAGAAAUCAACCGAGAUUCCCCCAGUAGCGGCGAGCGAACGGGGAGCAGCCCAGAGCCUGAAUCAGUGUGUGUGUUAGUGGAAGCGUCUGGAAAGGCGCGCGAUACAGGGUGACAGCCCCGUACACAAAAAUGCACAUACUGUGAGCUCGAUGAGUAGGGCGGGACACGUGGUAUCCUGUCUGAAUAUGGGGGGACCAUCCUCCAAGGCUAAAUACUCCUGACUGACCGAUAGUGAACCAGUACCGUGAGGGAAAGGCGAAAAGAACCCCGGCGAGGGGAGUGAAAAAGAACCUGAAACCGUGUACGUACAAGCAGUGGGAGCCUCUUUUAUGGGGUGACUGCGUACCUUUUGUAUAAUGGGUCAGCGACUUAUAUUCUGUAGCAAGGUUAACCGAAUAGGGGAGCCGAAGGGAAACCGAGUCUUAACCGGGCGUUAAGUUGCAGGGUAUAGACCCGAAACCCGGUGAUCUAGCCAUGGGCAGGUUGAAGGUUGGGUAACACUAACUGGAGGACCGAACCGACUAAUGUUGAAAAAUUAGCGGAUGACUUGUGGCUGGGGGUGAAAGGCCAAUCAAACCGGGAGAUAGCUGGUUCUCCCCGAAAGCUAUUUAGGUAGCGCCUCGUGAAUUCAUCUCCGGGGGUAGAGCACUGUUUCGGCAAGGGGGUCAUCCCGACUUACCAACCCGAUGCAAACUGCGAAUACCGGAGAAUGUUAUCACGGGAGACACACGGCGGGUGCUAACGUCCGUCGUGAAGAGGGAAACAACCCAGACCGCCAGCUAAGGUCCCAAAGUCAUGGUUAAGUGGGAAACGAUGUGGGAAGGCCCAGACAGCCAGGAUGUUGGCUUAGAAGCAGCCAUCAUUUAAAGAAAGCGUAAUAGCUCACUGGUCGAGUCGGCCUGCGCGGAAGAUGUAACGGGGCUAAACCAUGCACCGAAGCUGCGGCAGCGACACUGUGUGUUGUUGGGUAGGGGAGCGUUCUGUAAGCCUGUGAAGGUGUGCUGUGAGGCAUGCUGGAGGUAUCAGAAGUGCGAAUGCUGACAUAAGUAACGAUAAAGCGGGUGAAAAGCCCGCUCGCCGGAAGACCAAGGGUUCCUGUCCAACGUUAAUCGGGGCAGGGUGAGUCGACCCCUAAGGCGAGGCCGAAAGGCGUAGUCGAUGGGAAACAGGUUAAUAUUCCUGUACUUGGUGUUACUGCGAAGGGGGGACGGAGAAGGCUAUGUUGGCCGGGCGACGGUUGUCCCGGUUUAAGCGUGUAGGCUGGUUUUCCAGGCAAAUCCGGAAAAUCAAGGCUGAGGCGUGAUGACGAGGCACUACGGUGCUGAAGCAACAAAUGCCCUGCUUCCAGGAAAAGCCUCUAAGCAUCAGGUAACAUCAAAUCGUACCCCAAACCGACACAGGUGGUCAGGUAGAGAAUACCAAGGCGCUUGAGAGAACUCGGGUGAAGGAACUAGGCAAAAUGGUGCCGUAACUUCGGGAGAAGGCACGCUGAUAUGUAGGUGAAGUCCCUCGCGGAUGGAGCUGAAAUCAGUCGAAGAUACCAGCUGGCUGCAACUGUUUAUUAAAAACACAGCACUGUGCAAACACGAAAGUGGACGUAUACGGUGUGACGCCUGCCCGGUGCCGGAAGGUUAAUUGAUGGGGUCAGCGCAAGCGAAGCUCUUGAUCGAAGCCCCGGUAAACGGCGGCCGUAACUAUAACGGUCCUAAGGUAGCGAAAUUCCUUGUCGGGUAAGUUCCGACCUGCACGAAUGGCGUAAUGAUGGCCAGGCUGUCUCCACCCGAGACUCAGUGAAAUUGAACUCGCUGUGAAGAUGCAGUGUACCCGCGGCAAGACGGAAAGACCCCGUGAACCUUUACUAUAGCUUGACACUGAACAUUGAGCCUUGAUGUGUAGGAUAGGUGGGAGGCUUUGAAGUGUGGACGCCAGUCUGCAUGGAGCCGACCUUGAAAUACCACCCUUUAAUGUUUGAUGUUCUAACGUGGACCCGUGAUCCGGGUUGCGGACAGUGUCUGGUGGGUAGUUUGACUGGGGCGGUCUCCUCCUAAAGAGUAACGGAGGAGCACGAAGGUUGGCUAAUCCUGGUCGGACAUCAGGAGGUUAGUGCAAUGGCAUAAGCCAGCUUGACUGCGAGCGUGACGGCGCGAGCAGGUGCGAAAGCAGGUCAUAGUGAUCCGGUGGUUCUGAAUGGAAGGGCCAUCGCUCAACGGAUAAAAGGUACUCCGGGGAUAACAGGCUGAUACCGCCCAAGAGUUCAUAUCGACGGCGGUGUUUGGCACCUCGAUGUCGGCUCAUCACAUCCUGGGGCUGAAGUAGGUCCCAAGGGUAUGGCUGUUCGCCAUUUAAAGUGGUACGCGAGCUGGGUUUAGAACGUCGUGAGACAGUUCGGUCCCUAUCUGCCGUGGGCGCUGGAGAACUGAGGGGGGCUGCUCCUAGUACGAGAGGACCGGAGUGGACGCAUCACUGGUGUUCGGGUUGUCAUGCCAAUGGCACUGCCCGGUAGCUAAAUGCGGAAGAGAUAAGUGCUGAAAGCAUCUAAGCACGAAACUUGCCCCGAGAUGAGUUCUCCCUGACCCUUUAAGGGUCCUGAAGGAACGUUGAAGACGACGACGUUGAUAGGCCGGGUGUGUAAGCGCAGCGAUGCGUUGAGCUAACCGGUACUAAUGAACCGUGAGGCUUAACCUUACAACGCCGAAGGUGUUU